Molecule: ribosomal RNA, 492 nt
Filed under: uncultured bacterium
Lineage: Bacteria
Description: partial 16S ribosomal RNA
Rfam family: Bacterial small subunit ribosomal RNA
Source: RNAcentral
AGUGAACGCUGGCGGUAGGCCUAACACAUGCAAGUCGAACGGCAGCACAGUAAGAGCUUGCUCUUACGGGUGGCGAGUGGCGGACGGGUGAGGAAUACAUCGGAAUCUACUUUUUCGUGGGGGAUAACGUAGGGAAACUUACGCUAAUACCGCAUACGACCUUCGGGUGAAAGCAGGGGAUCUUCGGACCUUGCGCGAUUGAAUGAGCCGAUGUCGGAUUAGCUAGUUGGCGGGGUAAAGGCCCACCAAGGCGACGAUCCGUAGCUGGUCUGAGAGGAUGCUCAGCCACACGGGAACUGAGACACGGUCCAGACUCCUACGGGAGGCAGCAGUGGGGAAUAUUGGACAAUGGGCGCAAGCCUGAUCCAGCCAUACCGCGUGGGUGAAGAAGGCCUUCGGGUUGUAAAGCCCUUUUGUUGGGAAAGAAAAGCAGCAGGUUAAUACCCCGCUGUUCUGACGGUACCCAAAGAAUAAGCACCGGCUAACUUCGUG